Molecule: long non-coding RNA, 2416 nt
Organism: Uloborus diversus
Lineage: Eukaryota; Metazoa; Arthropoda; Arachnida; Araneae; Uloboridae
Exons: 13
Source: RefSeq, a predicted model, not a curated record
GAAAACUUGACGUCCUUCGGUUUUUAACCGAAAGUUUUUCCUUAAUCCUCGUUCACAUUUUAAUUGCUGCUUUGUUUUGUUCCAAGCCAAGCGCUCUGACGAAGAGGUUGAUUCAGGUCUCAUUAUAUUACCAAGUUUCCAUGGGAAGAAAAUUAAAUGCUGAACCAGAUGUGACUGAAACUGUCAGGCAAGACAACCUCCUCGACUACUUGAUUAAGAAUUUUUCCAAAGUGGGCUGAAACUCAAAGAAUCAUCACUGGGGACACUUCAUCACCUCUGGUCUGAAACAUCCUGUCUUUCUAACCACUUGCAAGAGCUUUUGUUGCAGAAUGGCCAAAAAACGUUCAAAGAGCUCACUCGGCAAGAAAGAGAUUUUGAGAAAAAAGAAGCAGAAAGAAAAAAAUGUGGAUCCUCCUAUCCAAAAAGAGGUAGGUGAAAAUGAAUCGUCAGAAGUUGGAGCAGAAGUUGGAGCACAUAAAUUACUAGAAUGUCCUGUAACAAUAAAGGUGGAACCUCCAGAUCCCGAGACUGAAAAACUAUUGCAACUGGCUUAUUCUGGAUUUCAUUUUGAUGAAACGGGUGCUUUCGUUGGCCCAUCAACUUCUCAAGCCAAUCCAGAAACCGUUGCGGAAACUGCGUGCCUUGUUUCGCCCAGACAGCAGGAGACCGCUUGUAAUGAUGAUGUGUUUGAGGGAACAAGUAGUGAACUGCAGAGUGUCGAAGCGCCAAGUGCCGAUGAUUUGAUGGCUGCAGGGCCUUCAACUGCUCCACCUGGUCAGCCAAUGGAUAUCGACGACAAUACACCUGAAUUUAAGGUUGAGGGAGACUGUUUUAUUCGUAUGGCCGAUCAUAUUUUUAUUGUGAAUAAAUUAGAUCUUGUGCCAAUAGAAGAAAAUGUUGGAUUUAUUGGCUGUGGUCCAAUGGCUGAAGCUUUCAUUGCCUUUCUCAUGAUAACUGGGCAUAGGGUCUAUGGGUAUAACCGCACUGUGGAAAAAUGGAAGGAUGUUCCUGUGAUGCCAAUCGUUGUAUCAACCCCUGCUGAACUGGUGGAAAAAAUGCAAUAUUAUUUUUUGUUGCGUAUCAGGUUCCGCUGCUGUUAAAGAUAUUAUGGAAAAACCGGAGGGUGUUUUAGAGGGCAUGGAUCACCAUCCCGGAAGAGCUUACGUGGAGAUGUCAUCAGUGGAUCCAUCCACAAUAUUACGGUAUUCUGAGAAUGUGAAUGCUAGAGGUGGAACUUAUUUGACUGCACAGAUUGGGCGCUCCAGACCCGCUGCCUAUUUGGGGAACACCAUCAUCAGGGCAUCCGGUGAUCGAGAAACUUUCUGCAGGUGUCAACCGUGCUUCGUUUCUUUUUGUAGUCUUUCUAUUUAUCUGAGCUCUAAUGUUGUUACUGCAUGCAUUGGAAGCAUCUGCCAAAGUGCCAUUGAGGCAACAUCCAUAAUCACUCUUUCGGAUAUCAUGCUUGCUGCAGAUAAAAUGGGCGUUGAUAAGGCAGCCGUUUUUAACGGCCUUGAGCAGACAACUCUCAGUAAACAAUGUGAAACACUCAGCACCUCAGCAAUAAUUAUGAUGGAAGAUAGACCGGACGUCUUCACUCCCUUAAGACAUGUCAUCAAGAACCUUCGCAUGGCCAUCGACUUAAAAAAGUCAGACCUGUUCGGGACCGAGCUCCUUCUGUCUGCUCUCCAGAUCUGCAAUUCAGUGCUAAACCACUAUCCAGAGGCGAGAGAUUAUGAUGUUUCUUGUGUGUACAAGUUAAGGACUGCUCCCUAUACAAUACCAGUUCCUGAAGCCUGAACUGAUAUUUUACUCAUUGUAAUUAAUUUGUUUCCUGUUUCUACACAUGGUUUAUUUUUACAUCAGUGUGCUCAAUACACUUUGCUGUAUGCAUUCAUUUGUACGUGUUUCAAUUGCUUCAAUGUAUGUAACAAACUGAGAUUUAUGUAAUAAAAUUUAUAUUUCUUUUUUACCGAGGAAAAUCCCACAGAAGAAAAAAUGAAACGGCAGUUUUAGAAACCGGUGAUAGAAGUGAAAACUUAAAACUACAAAAUGAAUGGGAAUUUUCUUUUUCAUUUUCAAAUUAAUUUAUAUACCUAAAAUUAAAAUUUCAGUGAAACACCGAGUUUAUGUCACCCGAAUCUAUUUUACAUCCCCGUUUUUCCUGCAUUUUACGUUAUUUUCAUCAGGUUUCAGUUUUUCCAUUACUACUAAUAAUGUCGAUUCAACCCAGAUACAAAGUUUGUUAUUCAUGAAUUGCCUGUAUUUUACGUUUUCCCUGGAGCUAAAAAAAAUUAACAAUGUUCGUUUCCUUUUGUGCUUUUUUUUUUUUUUUUUGAAGCUAAUCCAUGCUGUUGAAAGUUUAUCUAUGACAGCAGAAAUGCUAUUGCUCCAUCCUGUUAAAUUAGACUAUUUUCCU